GACGAACGCUGGCGGCGUGCCUAAUACAUGCAAGUUGAGCGCUGAAGGUUGGUACUUGUACCAACUGGAUGAGCAGCGAACGGGUGAGUAACGCGUGGGGAAUCUGCCUUUGAGCGGGGGACAACAUUUGGAAACGAAUGCUAAUACCGCAUAAAAACUUUAAACACAAGUUUUAAGUUUGAAAGAUGCAAUUGCAUCACUCAAAGAUGAUCCCGCGUUGUAUUAGCUAGUUGGUGAGGUAAAGGCUCACCAAGGCGAUGAUACAUAGCCGACCUGAGAGGGUGAUCGGCCAAAUUGGGACUGAGACACGGCCCAAACUCCUACGGGAGGCAGCAGUAGGGAAUCUUCGGAAAUGGACGAAAGUCUGACCGAGCAACGCCGCGUGAGUGAAGAAGGUUUUCGGAUCGUAAAACUCUGUUGGUAGAGAAGAACGUUGGUGAGAGUGGAAAGCUCAUCAAGUGGCGGUAACUACCCAGAAAGGGACGGCUAACUACGUG
Molecule: ribosomal RNA, 497 nt
Filed under: uncultured bacterium
Lineage: Bacteria
Description: partial 16S ribosomal RNA
Rfam family: Bacterial small subunit ribosomal RNA
Source: RNAcentral